This 25-nucleotide small RNA is filed under the name Arabidopsis thaliana (thale cress). RNAcentral's name for it is "ATSL236860". The record is from RNAcentral. Lineage: Eukaryota; Viridiplantae; Streptophyta; Magnoliopsida; Brassicales; Brassicaceae.
AAAGGAAAAAACAAACAAAAAGCUU